This 601-nucleotide ribosomal RNA is filed under the name Chaetomium globosum. RNAcentral describes it as "eukaryotic LSU rRNA". The stretch from base 231 to 384 matches the Rfam family "5.8S ribosomal RNA". Lineage: Eukaryota; Fungi; Ascomycota; Sordariomycetes; Sordariales; Chaetomiaceae. The record is from RNAcentral.
GGAAGUAAAAAGUCGUAACAAGGUCUCCGUUGGUGAACCAGCGGAGGGAUCAUUACAGAGUUGCAAAACUCCCUAAACCAUUGUGAACGUUACCUAUACCGUUGCUUCGGCGGGCGGCCCCGGGGUUUACCCCCCGGGCGCCCCUGGGCCCCACCGCGGGCGCCCGCCGGAGGUCACCAAACUCUUGAUAAUUUAUGGCCUCUCUGAGUCUUCUGUACUGAAUAAGUCAAAACUUUCAACAACGGAUCUCUUGGUUCUGGCAUCGAUGAAGAACGCAGCGAAAUGCGAUAAGUAAUGUGAAUUGCAGAAUUCAGUGAAUCAUCGAAUCUUUGAACGCACAUUGCGCCCGCCAGCAUUCUGGCGGGCAUGCCUGUUCGAGCGUCAUUUCAACCAUCAAGCCCCCGGGCUUGUGUUGGGGACCUGCGGCUGCCGCAGGCCCUGAAAAGCAGUGGCGGGCUCGCUGUCGCACCGAGCGUAGUAGCAUACAUCUCGCUCUGGUCGCGCCGCGGGUUCCGGCCGUUAAACCACCUUUUAACCCAAGGUUGACCUCGGAUCAGGUAGGAAGACCCGCUGAACUUAAGCAUAUCAAUAAGGCGGAGGA